CCAUGACGUACAAAGACACACUGAGCCAGUAUGAUCCGACCAGACCUUACAUCAGCAUUGAGGAGUUGUCGGAGAAGAAAGAGGCUGAUUGAAGCGGGACAGAUGACAUGGAUCCAUCCUUCCACAGCCAGGAGUGCACCGACCUGUGUCCCACACUUCAUAUAAGACUGGAAGCUACACUGAUCUCACAGCUACACACCACAGACGUCUACACACUGGAGAAGAGUCCCACAAAGAAGUCAUGACCCAGAGGCUGCAGAGAAACAUUUCAAGCCUCAUCUGAGUUUUUGUACAAUAUUUUUGCUGUAUGUAAAUAAAGCUUUCACUCCACAUA
Limanda limanda (common dab) is the source of this 334-nucleotide long non-coding RNA. RefSeq lists it as uncharacterized. The transcript has 2 exons. The record is from RefSeq and is a predicted model, not a curated record. Lineage: Eukaryota; Metazoa; Chordata; Actinopteri; Pleuronectiformes; Pleuronectidae.